CGCUCUAACUUAACCAAGAUAAGUAAAUAGGUGUAAAUAGGAAAGAUGGUAGAAUCGAAUAAGAACAAUAUUAAAGGUAAGAUAACAGUGAGUGAUAAUAUGGGAAUAGAGAAUAGAACAAUUCUAGUAUAUGGGCGAUGGUAGCAGAAUAGAGAGGAUAACUAUAGUUUCUCUACUUCAAAGGGGUAUGUCUAUGUCUGGGACGAACCACGUGAUAAGAGUACACCACAAAGGAUGCUUAUCCUUAGGCCGAUAAACCCUACCCGUCCUGCUAAUGAGAGGUGGACUACAGAGGACCAACGUAACUGUCACCUAUGCGGCCUACCACACGAUCCAGCCUGACAGGGGAUAUCCACAAGUAAUCUAGGUCUAAGCACCACGCUUACACCUAUACUACAACUCUAACCUAUAGGGUCCUAUAGAUUAGAAGUACUCAAAAGAGUUGUGAACCAGAACAUACAUGAUUAGUAAUUGCAUAAUGAAUUAGAAGUAGAUUAUCAGAGUCAUACCAUGAGCAAGCUUGAUUAGAGCUUGAUCAUGACGAAGUACAACCGAAGGAAGAACCGACAGGCCGGCCUCUCCUCUAAUCCUCCUUCGCUCUCCAUCUCACUACUAUCUAGAUCUACUCUAGUUUAGAGAAGAGAGGAGAGCUCUCAUAGGUGCUCUGUCUAUGAAUAAUGAAUAAUGAUCAAGGGGUGCCUCCUCCAGGGGCCAGGGGGUCUGCUUAUAUAGUCCCCUCAAGUGAACCUGGGCCGUCGGAUCAAACCGACAUUGAUUGAACGGUUAUUCUUGAUCCUUUAGGUCGGUGGAGCAUAAUCCGCGAGGUUGAACGUACUUGGCCACAGUAGCAGGGCGGGCGCCCAAGGGGGGAGGGCGGGCGCCCUGCCCCCGAGCCCGCUCGGCCUCCCGUUCGUUCCCGUGGCUUCUGGAGUCUUCUAGAUGGUAGAAAAUUGCGCGGCAUGUUAAUAUCUCUAUGUAAACCCGACGUGUGGGCCUUUCCUCCAUAUUUCCUGAUAACCCCCUGCAGAAAUAGACAAACACCAAAACUCGUGGAAUUCUGUCAGAUAAAACCCUAAGUUUAGAUGUUGGUUGUAUUUGGAUCCUUUUCUUUGUUUAUUUGCUGAUUAUAUUUGGUACUUAAGGACCGUCAACAACUCCCCCAAGCUUACCCCAUGCUCGUCCCUGAGCAAGGAUGGACUCAAGAGUUUUUGCAGUGGUUUUAUGCCUUAAAGGUACUCAUGGAUUCAAACAAGAUCUCAUCUCUAGAUUAAGGUAAACUGUUAAGAUUUAAGCUUACUCAUAUUACCUUCAACCAUGGGGCUUGCAACAGUCACUUGUGUCUUGAGGAGUUAAAAGAUAGAACGGUCAAGUCAAGCACCAUGUCUCUUGUUCUUUGAUCAACUAUAGCUCUGGAGUUUUUGCAGAUUUUCAAAUAAAACUCAGAGAUUCCUUGUAUGACUCUCUCUAGUCUCUCUUUUGUGGUAUUUCUGGAUCCUUACCAAGGCAGUGAUAAUAUACGCCUUCUCUCAAAGUAUGUAGUAUUUGUGGUAUGAGGCAUAGUGAUAUUACCUUCUCUCUCACCCUACUCUAAUAAGGUUUGAUAUCUGGAGCUCAUAGGUGGGAGACAGCUAAUACAUACUUACAAGACAUUUAUUGCAUAGUCAAACCAUGGAUCCAGAGAAACAAGUCAAUAAGUCAAACCAAGAUGUGCAUGUGUGGCGGAUGAAUGGUGUAUGGUGAUGAUGGUGAUAAUGGUGAAAAUAAUGGUGAAAGUCUAAUUCUACUUUUGCUCUUUUGAGGGGAUACAUACCUUUCUUGCACUUUGAAGGUUUUUGAGAGGAAUGAGAUGCUCUAUGUUUUCUUUUUCUUUUCUCUCAGGUGGGUAUCUUGUACCUCUAAUUCUACUGUCGGACACUUGUCCAUUUUUACCUCUCGUCUCACUUUUUCUUUUCUUUCGAGGUUCCGGGCACUUGCCCCUUUUUAUUUCCUCGUAUUUUUUUUCUUUUUUUUAGAGCACUCACCCUCCUAGAAUAAUGUAGCAAGUGGUAGUAACCAAAUUAGCUCGAGCAUUUAUUUCACGGGGAAUAACAGGGAUAGGAUAAUGUUUUUGGCUAUUCUCUCCUAGAUAGGAGUAGAAUAAUUUUAGUUGAAUCUAGAGAUGGAAAGGAGUGGAUGUAUGUGGAUGCGUACUUCCAGAGUAGAAGCAGCAUGUAUGAGUGAACGUGCAAGUGAAUCUUGAUUUUAUCCGCAUGACAAGCUCCUAAGAGUCUACACAGCUUGACCACACUCAAUGCUCAUAAGCAGUAAAAAGUAAAUGUAUGGUUCAUAGUCUCAUAAGCAUGUAUAUGUGGUUGUGGUAGGAUUUUAAACUCUCAUCAUAUAGGAACUCAUCAUGCAAUAUUUUAAAGAUUUUCAAAGAUAAAAUUCUCCAGAAUUCUAGCAUCUCUAGGAACAGAUAAACAACAGCUCAACCUUCCCAUAUCAUAUCUGUUAACGACUUAGACUUUAGAUCAAGUACUCUUCCCACAAGUUCAGGUUUAGAGCAAAUCUUAAUUCAUAACAGUAAUGCCUAAACUUGAGAGAGAUUUCAAUUUUGAGAACUAGUCAUGGCAGAGCAACUAUUCAUCAUUUCCAUGUGAGAGCUUAUCAUGAGAGUUCAUAGCAAACUUUAUUUAUUUAUUUAUUUAGCAAAUUAAGCAUAGAUAUAUAUAUAUAUGUAUAUAUAAGCAUAAAAUCUUUAUUUGGGUUUUUAUGAUUAUGCAUCUUUUUAUUAUUUGAGUAAAGUAUAAACGUGAGUAGAAACACUUAGCUAGAUAAAUGGGGGUGCUCUCCCCCAAGCUGUAUUUUGACGUAAUUUCUUCUGAUGUAGCUAGCAGGUGACGGAGGUUUAUUUGAAUGUCGGCAGCACCCUGACAGCGAUUAGCAUGUCCUCCGUUUGCUAGUCUUCUUUGAUCCUUGAAUACUGUGGAGCUCAAAUAGACAAUAAAGCUUUGUGGAACUAGUUAAGUGUUAGUAUAAAUAUCUAGCCUUUAUCAUAUUGAGCCUCCUUAAUAAAUGUUACUCUAUUUGGUAGGAUCAUAAAUUUUUUUUUAUAUUUUCAUUUUUAUAGGAUAGGAAUGUAUUUAUUUUAUUUUUACGCCACCACAGUGAAUGUACUUAUGGGUUUUAUGCCACGAGCAUACUCACAUGGGGCUUAGUAUUUUUAACAUUUUUUCUUUUCAAGAUAGCAUGAUUAACUAAUAAGCUAUUUAAGGAAAGUAAGUAAUUAAAGGGAAAAGGGAAUGUAGAAAGGACAAAUAUGGAUAACUACCGAUUUUACCUUUCGGCGAGGGUUCAAUGUUUUAAGUCUUCUGAACAAGACAUCUCACCGUGUUCAUUCUUUAGGUGCGUUAUUUGAUUCAGGUGCGGACCUUGACGUCUGCACCUCUUGAUACGGUGUCACCCAUGUUCUUCGUUUGCCCAGCAGUUCGAAGUGCGGCGUUGGCAGCAUCCUGCUCAGUGUGUUUGUGCUCGUAGAACCAGGUCCUUCACUUGGUAGAGUCUGGGAGUUGAAAAACUCCACCAUGUUUUGCUCGAAGUGUACCUGCUCAUAGAGACAAGGCAGAGAUCAAGUGCAUGGGCCCUGUUGGUGGAAAAACACCAACAGAACCAAAAGUGUAUUUGUUCUUCUCUAACCUUAAGCAUAGUGAGCAAGACAAAGUUGAUGGAUGAUAAGUUCAUGAGUGUAACAUUUAAAACAUUUGUCAGAUCAGAUCGCUCAACCUAAUGGAAAGAUAAUCUAUCUAUAUUUAUGUUUUUUUUAUAUAUAUCUUCCAAAGACUGAGUGUGCAACAUUUUAGCUCAUAUGAUUAGAAGUGUGGGAUCACAAAGGUGGAAUGACUAAACAUGUUGAAUCGAUUGGGUUGGUUAAUCUAGAGUUGUAAAUCAUACAUGUUUGUCUCUUUUAUUCAUAUGAACGCCAGAACCAAGGAGAAGCUUAUAAAUGUGAUAGUCAGAUAUCUUAAGAUGUUACCUUACUUGAAGAGUGAUGGUAUAGUAUCACCUUGUGGAAGCUUUCCUUUCGUAGUGGUUGUGUAUCUUGUUUAUGUACUUUGUCUCCUUCCAUGGAUCAUCUCUGUAUGAUGAAUGAGCUAUGUCCUUCUUGUGCAAAUUGUUAAACUUCAUGUGUUACUCUCUUCAUCUCCGAUGUGAGUUUAUCUCAGGACUUCCCAGGUUGAUAGUGAAAGUUUUCCUAUAGGGGUUAGUCCGACAAAAUAUACCAAUAUCUACUCAAGCAGUUUUUAGUUCAGUAACCAAACUAGACUCCAUGUCUAAUCAGAUUAAGGAAGACUAUUUAACCUAAGCACCAUGCUCAAUUUAAAUGCCAAUGGAAGUAUGUCGAGUACUUCCAAACCAACACUUGCUAGAAAAUAGACAAAGGUAGCAUGACAACAUUUAUAGAGAUCUACUCAAGUGGAGAUAGAGUAGUGUGAUUAGUAUUUAACAAAGUGAGCAUGUCUCAAAGGUAGGGACAACCAACAUAGCAACAUGGCAAAGGAUGUUAAGUACCCCCCCAAGCUUGAAUUUUGCAAAAUUUAAGUUUGGAUGAAUUUAAUUCAAUGUUGUAUGAUGAUUGGUUGGACAUACCUUGUGCUUGUCAUUCAUCCGAUCUUCUUGCUCUAAUCCUGGAAAGGUUAGUGACAAGAAUACCCGAAGGAAUAUUUUUACAAUUAUCCUUAUAUGCUUAAUACACAAGGUAAUGUUGCAAAUAAUUAAAAGCUCAUGUUAUGAUAUGAUCAGUGCUUAUUUUAGGACACUAAGCUUGUCCUUGGGAAACCAUCAAUUUAUGUCGGCGAAGUGGUUUCCCUUCCAAUGCUGACCUAUAUCAAGAUCAACUCAACGAGAUCUGCAAUAUUUAUUAUAGACAUAUGCAUCGACAACCGCCCUUUUAAAGUUU
RNAcentral lists this long non-coding RNA (4936 nucleotides) under Sorghum bicolor (sorghum). RNAcentral describes it as "long non-coding RNA (SBIC_LNC014360)". The record is from RNAcentral. Lineage: Eukaryota; Viridiplantae; Streptophyta; Magnoliopsida; Poales; Poaceae.